CCUACGGGAGGGCAGCAGUGGGGAAUAUUGGACAAUGGGCGAAAGCCUGAUCCAGCAAUUCCGCGUGUGUGAAGAAGGCCUUCGGGUUGUAAAGCACUUUAGUGGGGGAAGAAACAGCUUGGCCACACCAAGCCUUGACGGUACCCCAAGAAUAAGCACCGGCUAACUCUGUGCCAGCAGCCGCGGUAAUACAGAGGGUGCAAGCGUUAAUCGGAUUUACUGGGCGUAAAGGGUGCGUAGGUGGCUAUUUAAGUCGGAUGUGAAAGCCCGGGGCUCAACCUCGGAAUUGCAUUCGAUACUGAGUGGCUAGAGUUCGGUAGAGGGCGGCGGAAUUUCCGGUGUAGCGGUGAAAUGCGUAGAUAUCGGAAGGAACAUCAAUGGCGAAGGCAGCCGCCUGGGCCUGGACUGACACUGAGGCACGAAAGCGUGGGUAGCAAACAGGAUUAGAUACCCUGGUAGUCCACGCCGUAAACGAUGAGAACUUGACGUUGUCGUUUACGAAUCGGUGUCGCAGCUAACGCGAUAAGUUCUCCGCCUGGGGAGUACGGCCGCAAGGUUGAAACCUUAAAUGAAAUUGAACGG
Molecule: ribosomal RNA, 582 nt
Filed under: uncultured bacterium
Lineage: Bacteria
Description: bacterial SSU rRNA
Rfam family: Bacterial small subunit ribosomal RNA
Source: RNAcentral